This 440-nucleotide ribosomal RNA is filed under the name uncultured bacterium. Its description in RNAcentral is "partial 16S ribosomal RNA". It matches the Rfam family "Bacterial small subunit ribosomal RNA", at positions 338 to 795 of the family's 1533-position model. The record is from RNAcentral.
CCUACGGGUGGCAGCAGUGGGGGAUAUUGCACAAUGGGGGAAACCCUGAUGCAGCGACGCCGCGUGGGUGAAGAAGCGCCUCGGCGCGUAAAGCCCUGUCAGCAGGGAAGAAAAUGACGAUACCUGAAGAAGAAUACCCGGCUAACUACGUGCCAGCAGCCGCGGUAAUACGUAGGGGGCAAGCGUUAUCCGGAUUUACUGGGGGUAAAGGGGGCGCAGACGGCGAUGCAAGCCAGGAGUGAAAGCCCGGGGCCCAACCCCGGGACUGCGUUUGGAACUGCGUGGCUAGAGUGCAGGAGGGGCAGGCGGAAUUCCUGGUGUAGCGGUGAAAUGCGUAGAUAUCAGGAGGAACACCGGUGGCGAAGGCGGCCUGCUGGACUGCAACUGACGUUGAGGCCCGAAAGCGUGGGGAGCAAACAGGAUUAGAUACCCCAGUAGUC